RNAcentral lists this long non-coding RNA (4697 nucleotides) under Mytilus galloprovincialis (Mediterranean mussel). The record is from RNAcentral. Lineage: Eukaryota; Metazoa; Mollusca; Bivalvia; Mytilida; Mytilidae.
CUUACUACGGCUUAGGCUGUUUUCAAUUUUUUGUAGAAGGUAUGUGUCAAAUGUAAAUUAUUAAAUAUUACGUGUUCGUUUACUUUUAGAAAAUGAUUAACAAAAACGUUUAAUGUUAUAUGUUUAAGAAUAUACACUCUUAACUUUUUUUCUCCCUGAUUUUAAUCUCAAAACAAAAUCGGUUAUUAAUUUUCGUUUUUUUUUAUAUUUUCAUAUGUGGUAUUUAUAUAUUGCCUUCAUCACUCCAAGAUAUACUUAGCUUCAUAACAAUAAUACCAAUACGUUUCCAAAUAUAUAGUUGUAUCGUGUGUUUAAGCAGUCAUUUAUUUUAUAUGACAAUGUCUAUUUUUAAAUGAGAUUUGUGGUCACCUCUUCCGAUGUUGACUUCAUCGUUGACAAAAAUGGUAUUCUGAAUGUCAUCGAUUCUAUAUCAUAUUGAUAACAUUUAUAUGUGAGAUCUUUGGAAUCUUCUUCUAAACAGUACGUGUUUAGUGAAGUUAUUCUGGUAGAGUAAAAAUAUCUAAAUUUUCACCAACCGAUGUUUUGCAUAGUGUAAAAAAUACUAUUCCAUCUGAAUUAAAUUUAUUGAUUUAUCAAAGUGUUUCUAUGUACUAACAAGUACUUUAUUAGAUUUCAUUUGAAGAAAUUUUUUUUAACAUUGGUUUACCGUCAUUUUAGGCUAUUAACAUUACAUACAAACUGGAUAUCUUGUCAGAGCACCGAAUCAUGUAAAAGAUCGGUCAUAAGCGUUAUUGUUUUGUAAAUUGUUGAAUAACUAUAGUCAGUCCCUUCAACCUUGCUGGUAUCUCUUAUAUUAGCGUAUACUUCAUUUUAUUAACCUGAUGGUGGAUUUGAAGGAUGACUGUUUUGAAUAUGUUCUUAUUUAUAUAUUGUUUGAAUAGAUCGGAACGGUUGACCUUACGAGAAAUAGAAAACAACACCCCCUUUUAUUCAACAUUAUCUAAAAAGAUUUUGUUUUCAACAAACAUCCAAUGAGUGCAGCAGUGUUAAAAUGUUAAUUUUUAAAUCGAAAGUUUGUUCUAAUCAUUCCCGAAUUGAUUAAAUGAUUGAAAAACAAAAACAUAAAAAAAUAUAUAUAUCUAAAAAUAUAUAAUUUUUCUUUUCUUUUUGUUUUUCCUAACGUCCUGAUAUAAGAGAACUUUUCCCAAAUCGUCUUUUCUAUGAAACUCAGCACAAUAAACGAAACUGUGAAACAAUUGUGUAAAAAAUGCACGGGAUUAUUUUCUGCCAUAACAAAGCUAUAAAUAAGGUUAAGUGUCAGUCCCAAAUAACAGAGAUACAUUGUUUAGAAAUCAAUUGUAUUAUUCUAAUAGUAACUCAGUCGUAGAAGCUUUUGAUCAUGCAAUCGCCAUAUUGAAAUGUCAUUCAUUUGUGCAGUUUGAGUCAAUAUCUAUAGAACACAUAUUAGGUUUUAACUUAUCUCUAUGAAUGAGACAUUAAACUUGAUAUUCAUCCGAUCGACAUAUGCAUAUUUAAACCCAAUCGUCAACUCAUUGUAUAAUAUGAAUUAUGAUAUAAUAAAACUUACCAACCGUUAAUUUAUUCUUUAAAAGAUAAGUAACGAUUUACUUGCGAGACACAAAGAAAUAAAAUGAUUAAGUGACUCUUUACAAACACGAAGAAUGUAGUUUUUGUAUUUUUUUUCUGAUUUAGCAUGAAUGCAUAUUUGUGUUUAUAUUUUUUAACAAUCCAAACCUAAUGGAUGGAAUAUAACUGUGAAUUUUCCACGCAAUGUACAGGCAUUUUACAGAAAUCAUUCCAAUAAAACAUCGCUUACAAGGCGCGGUUUAUACCAAUGAGACAACCUCCAACGGAAACACUAUGUAUCCAAAACUCUACACAAAGUUUGUAUCUAUUUUGAUUGAUUAAAAAAUAAUUGAUUUUUACCUUGUUCUAUGCUUCCUUUUACAUAAGUAAGCUUUGUAUUUGUCUAAUUAUAAAAUGUUGUCAAAGAUGAAGUCUCCCCAUGAUGAUUUUACCUUGGUUUAAUUUUAUGGAGCUACGUAGCCAUCAAACAAUCUAAAUUGUAAUAAAAAGGCAUUCAUAAAUAACGUUUCUGAUUUUUGUAUUCUUAAAAUGUACUUUACAAUUGUUAUAAAAUGGUCUUAUCUAGCUUCUGGGAGCACGAAAUUAAAUUUGAAUCAAGGUAUCGAAUACGUUCUGUUCAGUUAAAGGACAUAGAUCAAAGUUGAAAAAUUGUAAAAGUGUUUCUUCCAAAAAGUCUUCUUUUCCAGUUAUUUAGUACAUGUUAUGGUUUAGACUUUGAACUUGUCUCCAACUACAUGUGCUGUUAAAGCUUUUGGGAGUAGCAACAAAAAUGCAAUCAGCUGAUUAUUGAUUAUUUCUGUCAUAAUCGUAAUGGGUGACGAGUCCCAGGUAAAAAUCAGGGUCUUCUCAUUAGGGAGAAAUACUGGGAAACUUAAUUAUAUAAAAAAAGAGGGACGAAGACAAACCUUCAAAUUGCUUUCGUAAAAAAUGAAUUUAAGCGCCAUUUUUUUUUUAUUUCAUUGCAAAAUGCAAAAUGUUGACCCCAGGCAGAAAGCCUGUUUUCCAUGUUAAAAGAAGCAUACAGCAUGGAAUGAUAUGAUUAUUUCAAUUGAAAUUGUUAAAUUGUGUGUUUUGAAUCGGGUCUAAAAUACACAUUUGAAAGGUAGUAACGUUUUAUGACAAUAAACCUUUUUAAAAUAAAAAAAAAAUUGACUUUGUGUAAUUUCCUAGGUAAUAUCACCAACACAAAUGUCCAUUUUUGUUUCCAGCAAUAUUUGAACAUAGUUGUGACGUCAAUAAAUAAUCAAAACAACAGACGUAUAACGCUGUUUUAUAAUCAUAACUCGAAAAACCAAUACGGGUCACAAACCAAAACCGAGGGAAACAUAUCGAGUUAAAAUGAAAAACAACAGAAAAAUUGAACUGCAACAAAAACAAACGCCAACAUUCAUAGCAACGCAUUUUAAUAACAACUGCUAUAUUCCUGUAUUGGUACAUCAAUCACAACAAUAAUGGCAAAGCGAAAAAAGAACCUCAUAUAAAUAGAAUGUUUAUUUACGUCUAACGUAAAUUACACUUUUUUCUUAAAGGAUGUUUGAUUUAUAAAAAAAAAGAUGAAAAUGUUCGAGGUAAGUGAUUGUGUAUUAAACUUAUAUUUUACUUUUUAAUGUUGUGUCGUCAUUCUCCUCUUAUAUUUAAUGCGUUUCCCCCAAUUUUGGUUGUGUGACCCGGAUCUGUUUUUUUUUUUUCCUAUCGAUUUAUGAGUUUUGAUUAUCGGUAUACUACUGAUGCCUUUAUUUAGUGUAAUUUUAUCCCGUGAAAAAGACAGUGAGAUUAGACAAUGAUGCAAUCAUAACAUUUUGUCUUUGAUAUGUGUUUUUUUAAAAGUUUUAAAUACUAGUAUACACACGUUGAUAAAUAUGUUGAGUAUUCCAUGUCUUAUAGAUAUAGGAAGAUGUGGUGUGAGUGUCAAUGAAACAACUCUCCAUCCAAAUAAAAAUUAAAAAAAAAAAAUAAAUCAUUAUAGGUCAAUGUACGGCCUUCAACACGGAGCCUUGGCUCACACCGAACAACAAGCUAUAAAGGGCCCCAAAAUUACCAGUGUAAAAACAUUCAAACAGGAAAACCAACGGUCUAAUCUAUAUAAAAAAAUAUGUAUGGAUUUGGGGAUAUGUAAAGAAAUCAAGUUGAUAAUAGUUUUAUUUUCACUAACUAAAGUACGAAUCUCUGCAAAUACAUUUCUUAUCAAAAUCGUUAUUCAUCAGACUAAUAGUGUGUUUGGCAGGUAAUAUGAACAAUGUCUUUGACAUAUAUUCUUUUUUUUUCAACAGUACCUCGAGGAAUAUGUAAUCCUCUGAUUUACAUUUUUUUUGUUUUAGUUAGAUAAUAAUUUAGUCGAAAAAGGCGUGUUUUAUACCAAUAUGAACGAUGAAUUUAUUAUAGAAAACAGGAGUAAACUUUGGUAUUUGUGUAAGAUGUGAGCUUCAUCUAAAAAAGACUCAUCAGUGACGCUCGAAUAAAAAAAAGUUUAAUAGGCCAUAAAAAUAAUACAACAUAUCGACAAUGUUUUUUUUAUUUCAUUUAAAAAUAGUAUUUGAGUUUAAUAUGAUUUUUUAAACAACCUUUUCAUAAAUCCGUUUCCCAAUUCUCUUUUUUUUUCUUUUUCAGAUAAUUAUAAAACAUUAUGGAUCUUGGUCAUGAUGGGUGACGUUAAAUUCCAUCAAUUAACAAACAGUCGUCUGGUGGGAGAACGACGUUAUGAAAUGAUAAACUGUAGCAAAAUACUUCCACGUUUCACAAGUGUCUUUUCACAUCAUCACAGACUUGCUUGGCUUGUAUCUGUUUAACACUUGAUAUGCUAAUAUUUUGCCCCUGCAAAUAACCAGUUUUAUCAUUUUGGACUUUCGAUGACCGGGUCUAUUAUUUUGGACUUGCAAUUACUGGAUUGAUCUGUUUGGGCAUGCGACAACUUGAAUUAUAAUUUUAAAUUCAUAACCGGAUUGAUCAUUUUGGACUUGCGAUAACCGGAUUGAUCGUUUUGGACUUGCGAUAACCUAAUUUAUUCAUUUGGACUUGCGUGCAUCAGAUUUAUCAUUUUGCACAUAUCUGGACUCUUCUUUAAAUAAUUGAAAACGAAAAAGGUUUAAAAGAUAAAAUGAUAUAUACAUAAAAAAAAUAAAAAUUAAAGC